This 89-nucleotide small RNA is filed under the name Marmota monax (woodchuck). Lineage: Eukaryota; Metazoa; Chordata; Mammalia; Rodentia; Sciuridae. The record is from RNAcentral.
GCCAGGCAUGGUGGCGCACGCCUGUAAUCCCAGCUGCUUGGGAGGCAGAGGCAGGAGGAUAGUGAGUUCAAAGUCAGCCCCAGCAAUUU